UAUGUGAUCGUCUCUCGCAUAUCAAUAAGCGGAGGAAAAGAAACUAACAAGGAUUCCCCUAGUAACGGCGAGUGAAGCGGGAAGAGCUCAAAUUUGAAAUCUUAAAGGGUUUCCCCUUACGAAUUGUAGUUUAAAGAAGUGUUUUCUGUUGAGGUUUUGGUAAAAGUUCUUUGGAAUAGGACAUCAUAGAGGGUGAGAAUCCCGUAUUUGACCUUUACUUUCAACUUUGUGAUACACUUUCAAAGAGUCGGAUUGUUUGGGAAUGCAGUCCAAAAUGGGUGGUAAAUUUCAUCUAAAGCUAAAUAUUGGCGAGAGACCGAUAGCGAACAAGUACCGUGAGGGAAAGAUGAAAAGAACUUUGAAAAGAGAGUUAAACAGUACGUGAAAUUGUCAAAAGGGAAGCGUUUGACACCAGUGUUGUUUUUCUGAAAAUCAAUUAAAGAACUGUUUAUGCUAAGUUGUUUAGACUUUAUCAGCUAUCUGUUUAGUUUUGAGCUUUUCUUUAAUGCACUUUUCAGUUAACAAGUCAACAUCAAUUUCUUUUGCUGUAAAAAAGCUUGAGGAAGGUGGCUUGAGAUUCGUCUUAAGUGUUUAUAGCCUCUUGCCUAUGCAGUCGGAGAGAUUGAGGUCUGCAGCGUAGAUCCUUCGGGGCUAAAUGCAUUUGUGCUAAGUUAUAGCAUUUUAUAGACAACUUGUUGACUAUGAUUUGUCUUGUAGCUUACUCGCUUAUGUUAUUUUACCUACGCUUAGGAUGUUGAGCGCAUGUCUCUCUCU
RNAcentral lists this ribosomal RNA (774 nucleotides) under uncultured Neocallimastigales. RNAcentral's name for it is "partial large subunit ribosomal RNA". It matches the Rfam family "Eukaryotic large subunit ribosomal RNA", at positions 24 to 616 of the family's 3401-position model. Lineage: Eukaryota; Fungi; Neocallimastigomycota; Neocallimastigomycetes; Neocallimastigales. The record is from RNAcentral.